AGAGGCUUAGGAUAAAUUAGACCAAAGACCUUCAAAGCCUUAAGCAGGAGUGAAAAUCUCCUAGCCUCUG
Molecule: transfer RNA, 70 nt
Filed under: Plotosus lineatus (striped eel catfish)
Lineage: Eukaryota; Metazoa; Chordata; Actinopteri; Siluriformes; Plotosidae
Also listed under: 1 other name
Description: tRNA-Trp
Rfam family: tRNA
About the family: Transfer RNA (tRNA) molecules are approximately 80 nucleotides in length. Their secondary structure includes four short double-helical elements and three loops (D, anti-codon, and T loops).
Source: RNAcentral